CCUUCUCCGAGAUGGAGGAAAGCGGGGAGAAAGAACAACUGUGGGGCACUCUACCCUUCUGAUUCCUUAUUUGUUUUUCUCUGUAACUCAGUGGGUCAUCAUGGGGACAGCCAAGAACAACCACACUGUACUGAAACUUCCCCUCCUUGACAAACCCAAGACACAGAAAAACUAUGCCCAACCUGAGGUUCUGUGUCACACCUUUGAGACCCUGUCUAACCUUCACAAACUGCUGCCAAAUCAUAUGAUGGAGACACUCUACUUCUACAAGAGGGAAGAGGACAAACAAAAUUGUCGGAAUUCUGAAUUCUCUGGCUUAGAAAGGAUCUUAGCAAGACAUCAGUUUCCAAAAGAGAUUAAUCUGACUCCCAAUCCAAGUAGCAUGCCCCUGUGGAGAAGAAAAUGCAUCAACAAUGCAAAUCGUGGGUGGAAGAAAUGUCAAUUGUGGAAUAAAAGCCUUGAGGAACCUCCGAUGUCAACCAUAGUUGUCAGAUGGUUGAAAAAGAACAUGCAACCCGCCGAAGACCUCCAGUCAGUAAUCCAGAGGCUGUCAGUGUUUGGGCCAAUUAAGUCAGUCACCUUCUGUGGACGGCAAAGUGCUAUCGUGGUGUUCGAAGACCUGACUUCAGCUUGUAAUGCUGUGAAUGCUUUUCAAAGCAGGACCACAGGCACAAUGUUUCAGUGUUCCUGGCAACAGCGUUUCAUGUCAAAAGAUAAAACAUAUUCAAGAAGAUGUACUGCAAAGUCACAGCCUAAGGAUUACAAGCAGGAAAUUGAAAGAAAAGGCUAAUCAUAGCUAAGGGGACACGAACAGGAGGACAUUCCUAAAGAAGGAAUAGCUGAACUGAGAUCUGAAGGAGGAGCAAGGAAAGUUGCAGUGCUUUUUGGACAUGCAGAACCUACCCGAAGCCAACAAGUUCUAAAUAAUGAAUGCCCAACUUGGUUGUGUGAAG
This is an RNA transcript of Prionailurus viverrinus (fishing cat), 953 nucleotides long. RefSeq lists it as uncharacterized. NCBI's taxonomy places the organism in Eukaryota, Metazoa, Chordata, Mammalia, Carnivora, Felidae. The record is from RefSeq and is a predicted model, not a curated record. The transcript has 6 exons.